Molecule: long non-coding RNA, 440 nt
Filed under: Pan troglodytes (chimpanzee)
Lineage: Eukaryota; Metazoa; Chordata; Mammalia; Primates; Hominidae
Description: lincRNA
Source: RNAcentral
AUAGUCAGUACAAUAAGAUAUAAAUAGAAACAACAAAAAGUUAAAAAACAGGAGAACGAAAUUAAGAGACAAGAUCUCACUGUGUUGCCCAGCCUGGAGUGCAGUGGUGUGAUCACAGCUCACUGCAGCCUUGAAAUCCUGGUCUCAAAUAAUCCUCUAGCCUUGGCCUCCCAAAGUACAAGAAUUACAGGCAAUGGUCACUGCACCUGGCUUGGAUCCACUUUUAAAUUUGUCAAGAGAUUAUGACCAAGAAAAUUUAGAAUGAUUUAUCAUUCUAAAUAUAUAAAAAUAUUAUGUAUUCUCAUGCAAUGUAUCGACUCUACAAAAGAGAUGCCCUCACCCACAGACACACACACACUCACACUCACUCUUAUCUUUACUUCCACUAAAACACACUCCUGUCUCAAUUUUAACUGUAGUUGGUAUCUCCAGUAGAAAGA